RNAcentral lists this ribosomal RNA (432 nucleotides) under uncultured bacterium. RNAcentral's name for it is "partial 16S ribosomal RNA". It matches the Rfam family "Bacterial small subunit ribosomal RNA", at positions 29 to 506 of the family's 1533-position model. The record is from RNAcentral.
AACGAACGCUGGCGGCAUGCCUAACACAUGCAAGUCGAACGAGACCUUCGGGUCUAGUGGCGCACGGGUGCGUAACGCGUGGGAACCUGCCCUUAGGUUCGGAAUAACUCCCCGAAAGGGGUGCUAAUACCGGAUAAUGUCUUCGGACCAAAGAUUUAUCGCCUUUGGAUGGGCCCGCGUUGGAUUGGCUAGUUGGUAGGGUAAAAGCCUACCAAGGCGACGAUCCAUAGCUGGUCUGAGAGGAUGAUCAGCCACACUGGGACUGAGACACGGCCCAGACUCCUACGGGAGGCAGCAGUGGGGAAUAUGGGACAAUGGGCGAAAGCCUGAUCCAGCAAUGCCGCGUGAGUGAUGAAGGCCUUAGGGUUGUAAAGCUCUUUUACCCGGGAUGAUAAUGACAGUACCGGGAGAAUAAGCUCCGGCUAACUCCGU